ACGGAGCUUAGAGAGCUUGCUUUUUAAGCUUAGUGGCGAACGGGUGAGUAACGCGUGAGUAACCUGCCCUAGAGUGGGGGACAACAGUUGGAAACGACUGCUAAUACCGCAUAAGCCCACGGUACCGCAUGGUACUGAGGGAAAAGGAUUUAUUCGCUUUAGGAUGGACUCGCGUCCAAUUAGCUAGUUGGUGAGGUAACGGCCCACCAAGGCGACGAUCGGUAGCCGGACUGAGAGGUUGAACGGCCACAUUGGGACUGAGACACGGCCCAGACUCCUACGGGAGGCAGCAGUGGGGAAUAUUGCACAAUGGGGGAAACCCUGAUGCAGCGACGCCGCGUGGAGGAAGAAGGUCUUCGGAUUGUAAACUCCUGUUGUUGAGGAAGAUAAUGACGGUACUCAACAAGGAAGUGACGGCUAACUACGUGCCAGCAGCCGCGGUAAAACGUAGGUCACAAGCGUUGUCCGGAAUUACUGGGUGUAAAGGGAGCGCAGGCGGGAAGACAAGUUGGAAGUGAAAUCCAUGGGCUCAACCCAUGAACUGCUUUCAAAACUGUUUUUCUUGAGUAGUGCAGAGGUAGGCGGAAUUCCCGGUGUAGCGGUGGAAUGCGUAGAUAUCGGGAGGAACACCAGUGGCGAAGGCGGCCUACUGGGCGCCAAC
This 661-nucleotide ribosomal RNA is filed under the name uncultured Lachnospiraceae bacterium. Its description in RNAcentral is "bacterial SSU rRNA". It matches the Rfam family "Bacterial small subunit ribosomal RNA", at positions 66 to 740 of the family's 1533-position model. The record is from RNAcentral. Lineage: Bacteria; Bacillati; Bacillota; Clostridia; Lachnospirales; Lachnospiraceae.